This 506-nucleotide ribosomal RNA is filed under the name uncultured bacterium. RNAcentral describes it as "partial 16S ribosomal RNA". It matches the Rfam family "Bacterial small subunit ribosomal RNA", at positions 29 to 523 of the family's 1533-position model. The record is from RNAcentral.
AGUGAACGCUGGCGGUAGGCCUAACACAUGCAAGUCGAACGGCAGCACAGAGGAGCUUGCUCCUUGGGUGGCGAGUGGCGGACGGGUGAGGAAUACAUCGGAAUCUACUCUGUCGUGGGGGAUAACGUAGGGAAACUUACGCUAAUACCGCAUACGACCUACGGGUGAAAGCAGGGGAUCUUCGGACCUUGCGCGAGUGAAUGAGCCGAUGUCGGAUUAGCUAGUUGGCGGGGUAAAGGCCCACCAAGGCGACGAUCCGUAGCUGGUCUGAGAGGAUGAUCAGCCACACUGGGACUGAGACACGGUCCAGACUCCUACGGGAGGCAGCAGUGGGGAAUAUUGGACAAUGGGCGCAAGCCUGAUCCAGCCAUACCGCGUGGGUGAAGAAGGCCUUCGGGUUGUAAAGCCCUUUUGUUGGGAAAGAAAUCCAUCUGGUUAAUACCCGGGUGGGAUGACGGUACCCAAAGAAUAAGCACCGGCUAACUUCGUGCCAGCAGCCGCAGUAA